AAGCCUGAUGCAGCGACGCCGCGUGAGGGAUGACGGCCUUCGGGUUGUAAACCUCUUUCGACCCUGACGAAGCGAGAGUGACGGUAGGGGGAGAAGAAGCGCCGGCCAACUACGUGCCAGCAGCCGCGGUAAGACGUAGGGCGCGAGCGUUGUCCGGAUUUAUUGGGCGUAAAGAGCUCGUAGGCGGCUCGUUGCGUCAGCUGUGAAAACCUGCGGCUUAACUGUGGGCUCGCAGCUGAUACGGGCGGGCUAGAAUUCGGUAGGGGAGACUGGAAUUCCUGGUGUAGCGGUGAAAUGCGCAGAUAUCAGGAGGAACACCGGUGGCGAAGGCGGGUCUCUGGGCCGAUAUUGACGCUGAGGAGCGAAAGCGUGGGGAGCGAACAGGAUUAGAUACCCUGGUAGUCCACGCUGUAAACGUUGGGCGCUAGGUGUGGGGGGCCUCUCCGGUUCUCUGUGCCGCAGCUAACGCAUUAAGCGCCCCGCCUGGGGAGUACGGCCGCAAGGCUA
RNAcentral lists this ribosomal RNA (507 nucleotides) under uncultured Actinomycetes bacterium. RNAcentral describes it as "bacterial SSU rRNA". It matches the Rfam family "Bacterial small subunit ribosomal RNA", at positions 379 to 896 of the family's 1533-position model. Lineage: Bacteria; Bacillati; Actinomycetota; Actinomycetes. The record is from RNAcentral.